CCCUUAGAUGUUCUGGGCCGCACACGCGCUACACUGAAGGAGGCAGCGUGUACUCCUGGAUCGAAAGAUUUGGGUAACCCGCGAAUCUCCUUCGUGCUAGGGAUUGAGGUUUGCAAUUAUCCUUCAUGAACGAGGAAUUCCCAGUAAGUGCAAGUCAUAAGCUUGCGCUGACUACGUCCCUGCCCUUCGUACACACCGCCCGUCGCUACUACCGAUUGAAUGAUUUAGUGAGGACUUCGGACUGGGACCGAUGCGGCUUUCGGGCUGCGUCGGUAUUCUGGAAAGAUGUCCAAACUGUAUCAUUUAGAGGAAGUAAAAGUCGUAACA
Molecule: ribosomal RNA, 327 nt
Filed under: uncultured eukaryote
Lineage: Eukaryota
Description: partial 18S ribosomal RNA
Rfam family: Eukaryotic small subunit ribosomal RNA
Source: RNAcentral